AGAGUUUGAUCCUGGCUCAGAGCGAACGCUGGCGGCGUGCGUAACACAUGCAAGUCGAACGCGCAGCAUUCUGUAGCAAUACAGGGUGUGGGCGCGUGGCGAACGGGUGCGUAACACGUGGAUAACCUUCCUUCAGGUGGGGAAUAACCCAGUGAAAAUUGGGCUAAUACCGCAUAACAUGACGAUGGCACAUGCUGUUGUCUUCAAAGGCGCAAGUCGCCAGAAGAGGGAUCCGCGGCCGAUUAGCUUGUUGGCGAGGUAAUGGCUCACCAAGGCAUUGAUCGGUAGCCGGACUGAGAGGUUGACCGGCCACACUGGAACUGAGACACGGUCCAGACUCCUACGGGAGGCAGCAGUGGGGAAUCUUGCACAAUGGACGAAAGUCUGAUGCAGCAACGCCGCGUGGGGGAGGAAGCUUCUCGGAGUGUAAACCCCU
Molecule: ribosomal RNA, 436 nt
Filed under: uncultured bacterium
Lineage: Bacteria
Description: bacterial SSU rRNA
Rfam family: Bacterial small subunit ribosomal RNA
Source: RNAcentral